This is a long non-coding RNA of Misgurnus anguillicaudatus (oriental weatherfish), 408 nucleotides long. RefSeq lists it as uncharacterized. Lineage: Eukaryota; Metazoa; Chordata; Actinopteri; Cypriniformes; Cobitidae. The record is from RefSeq and is a predicted model, not a curated record.
GGUCAUUGCAGGUGCUGGUUGAUCUGAGGUGUGCAUGGACUUCCACAGGAACAGGGAGCCGAGCCCCUGGGAAGCGGCACGUUGCAAGGGACACCAAUUAUGUUGUGGAGGACACAGAGCCGCCUGUUCCCGCUCAGGCCGGCUGUCAUGUCGCAGGAUGACCCUCUCUGUCAAACCCAUUCAGCGAAGCGCACGGAAAGCCAGUCUAAUUGGUGUUGGGCAAACAGAUUUUGUCACAAACUUGCAUAGGAAGCUAAGUAGCUGAACGUUCACAUUGUUCAACCCCUGACCUGCAGCUUGGUGCAUUCAGAGACCCCCAUUAUGUCCCGUUCUGUUGAUUAUUCAUCUAUGACCUUGCGAGCUCGGGAAAUUCGGGGCAGCAAUUAAAAUCAAUAUUCUGGCAAUAGA